Non-coding RNA from Elaeis guineensis (African oil palm), 74 nucleotides. NCBI's taxonomy places the organism in Eukaryota, Viridiplantae, Streptophyta, Magnoliopsida, Arecales, Arecaceae. The record is from the annotation of a RefSeq genome assembly.
GGUCCCGUAGCUCAGUGGGUCAGAGUGUUGGUCUUAUGAGCCGAAGGCCGCGAGUUCAAGCCUCUCUGGGACCA